RNAcentral lists this ribosomal RNA (253 nucleotides) under uncultured bacterium. RNAcentral describes it as "partial 16S ribosomal RNA". It matches the Rfam family "Bacterial small subunit ribosomal RNA", at positions 524 to 776 of the family's 1533-position model. The record is from RNAcentral.
UACGUAGGGGGCUAGCGUUGUCCGGAUUUAUUGGGCGUAAAGAGCGUGUAGGCGGCCAGAUAGGUCUGCUGUGAAAACUCGAGGCUCAACCUCGAGAUGUCGGCGGAAACCAUUUAGCUAGAGUCCGGAAGAGGAAAGUGGAAUUCCUGGUGUAGCGGUGAAAUGCGCAGAUAUCAGGAAGAACACCCGUGGCGAAGGCGGCUUUCUGGGACGGUACUGACGCUGAGGAGCGAAAGCGUGGGGAGCGAACAGG